RNAcentral lists this ribosomal RNA (287 nucleotides) under uncultured bacterium. Its description in RNAcentral is "partial 16S ribosomal RNA". It matches the Rfam family "Bacterial small subunit ribosomal RNA", at positions 773 to 1060 of the family's 1533-position model. The record is from RNAcentral.
GUGGAUUAGAUACCCGGGUAGUCCACGCCGUAAACGGUGGGAACUAGUUGUAGGGGCCAUUCCACGGCUUCUGUGACGAAGCUAACGCAUUAAGUUCCCCGCCUGGGGAGUACGGCCGCAAGGCUAAAACUCAAAGGAAUUGACGGGGGCCCGCACAAGCGGCGGAGCAUGCGGAUUAAUUCGAUGCAACGCGAAGAACCUUACCAAGGCUUGACAUAUACAGGAAACGUGCAGAGAUGUACGCCCCGCAAGGUCUGUAUACAGGUGGUGCACGGUCGUCGUCAGCU